This 253-nucleotide ribosomal RNA is filed under the name uncultured bacterium. RNAcentral describes it as "partial 16S ribosomal RNA". It matches the Rfam family "Bacterial small subunit ribosomal RNA", at positions 524 to 776 of the family's 1533-position model. The record is from RNAcentral.
UACGUAGGUGGCAAGCGUUGUCCGGAUGUAUUGGGUUUAAAGGGUGCGUAGGCGGCUUUGUAAGUCAGUGGUGAAAUAUGGCAGCUCAACUGUCAGGGUGCCAUUGAUACUGCGGAGCUUGAGUACAGAUGAGGUAGGCGGAAUUGACGGUGUAGCGGUGAAAUGCUUAGAUAUCGUCAAGAACACCGAUAGCGAAGGCAGCUUACUAGGCUGUAACUGACGCUGAGGCACGAAAGUGUGGGGAUCAAACAGG